This 443-nucleotide ribosomal RNA is filed under the name uncultured bacterium. Its description in RNAcentral is "bacterial SSU rRNA". It matches the Rfam family "Bacterial small subunit ribosomal RNA", at positions 958 to 1397 of the family's 1533-position model. The record is from RNAcentral.
AACGCGAAGAACCUUACCAGUCCUUGACAUGUCCACUAUGGGCCUGAGAGAUCAGGUCCUUCACUUCGGGUGGGUGGAACACAGGUGCUGCAUGGCUGUCGUCAGCUCGUGUCGUGAGAUGUUGGGUUAAGUCCCGCAACGAGCGCAACCCUCAUCUUCAGUUGCCCCCGGGUAAGGCCGGGCACUCUGAAGAAACCGCCGGUGACAAGCCGGAGGAAGGCGGGGAUGACGUCAAGUCCUCAUGGCCCUUACGGACUGGGCUACACACGUACUACAAUGGUGGUGACAGUGGGCAGCGAAAGCGCGAGCUGGAGCUAAUCCCCAAAAGCCAUCUCAGUUCAGAUUGCACUCUGCAACUCGAGUGCAUGAAGUUGGAAUCGCUAGUAAUCGCAGAUCAGCACGCUGCGGUGAAUACGUUCCCGGGCCUUGUACACACCGCAUAC